GGGGAUAUAACUCAGUUGGUAGAGUGUGUGCUUUGCAAGCAUGAAGUCAAGAGUUCGAGUCUCUUUAUCUCCU
This 73-nucleotide transfer RNA is filed under the name Hedophyllum nigripes. Its description in RNAcentral is "tRNA-Ala". It matches the Rfam family "tRNA". Rfam says of the family: Transfer RNA (tRNA) molecules are approximately 80 nucleotides in length. Their secondary structure includes four short double-helical elements and three loops (D, anti-codon, and T loops). Further hydrogen bonds mediate the characteristic L-shaped molecular structure. tRNAs have two regions of fundamental functional importance: the anti-codon, which is responsible for specific mRNA codon recognition, and the 3' end, to which the tRNAs corresponding amino acid is attached (by aminoacyl-tRNA synthetases). tRNAs cope with the degeneracy of the genetic code in two manners: having more than one tRNA (with a specific anti-codon) for a particular amino acid; and 'wobble' base-pairing, i.e. permitting non-standard base-pairing at the 3rd anti-codon position. Lineage: Eukaryota; Phaeophyceae; Laminariales; Laminariaceae. The record is from RNAcentral.